Molecule: ribosomal RNA, 532 nt
Filed under: uncultured bacterium
Lineage: Bacteria
Description: bacterial SSU rRNA
Rfam family: Bacterial small subunit ribosomal RNA
Source: RNAcentral
GGCGAUUGGGCCGAGUUUGAUCCUGGCUCAGGAUAAACGCUGGCGGCGUGCCUAAUGCAUGCAAGUCGAACGGAUGUUGCCUUCGGGCAGCAUUAGUGGCAAACGGGUGAGUAACACGUGGGGAUCUGCCCAGUAGUGGGGAACAACUCCUCGAAAGAGGAGCUAAUACCGCAUACGGUCAUCGUCGGAAGACGGAAGACUAAAGCUCGCAAGAGCGCUAUUGGAGGAACCUGCGGCUGAUUAGCUUGUUGGUGGGGUGAUGGCCUACCAAGGCUGCGACGGGUAGCCGGCCUGAGAGGGUGUCCGGCCACACUGGGACUGAGACACGGCCCAGACUCCUACGGGAGGCAGCAGUGGGGAAUAUUGCGCAAUGGGCGGAAGCCUGACGCAGCGACGCCGCGUGAGGGAUGACGGCCUUCGGGUUGUAAACCGCUUUCAGGAGGGACGAAGCCACUCGGGUUAAUAGCCCAGAGGGUGACGGUACCUCCAGAAGAAGCCCCGGCUAACUACGUGCCAGCAGCCGCGGUUAGCU